AUGAACGCUAGCGACAGGCCUAACACAUGCAAGUCAGGGGCAGCACAAGGAGCAAUCUGAGGUGGCGACCGGCGCACGGGUGAGUAACGCGUAUGCAACCUGCCUGUAAGCGGGGAAUAACCCGUUGAAAGACGGACUAAUACCGCAUAAUACUAAAUUACUGCAUGGUAAUUUAUUUAAACAUUUAUGGCUUACAGAUGGGCAUGCGCAUGAUUAGCUAGUUGGAGAGGUAACGGCUCCCCAAGGCAACGAUCAUUAGGGGUUCUGAGAGGAAGGUCCCCCACACUGGUACUGAGACACGGACCAGACUCCUACGGGAGGCAGCAGUGAGGAAUAUUGGUCAAUGGACGAGAGUCUGAACCAGCCAAGUCGCGUGCAGGAAGAAUGUCCUAUGGAUUGUAAACUGCUUUUGCAGGGGAAUAAAGUGCAUCACGUGUGAUGUUUUGUAUGUACUCUGCGAAUAAGGAUCGGCUAACUCCGUGCCAGCAGCAGC
This 493-nucleotide ribosomal RNA is filed under the name uncultured bacterium. RNAcentral describes it as "bacterial SSU rRNA". It matches the Rfam family "Bacterial small subunit ribosomal RNA", at positions 29 to 518 of the family's 1533-position model. The record is from RNAcentral.